RNAcentral lists this long non-coding RNA (200 nucleotides) under Sorghum bicolor (sorghum). Its description in RNAcentral is "long non-coding RNA (SBIC_LNC009226)". The record is from RNAcentral. Lineage: Eukaryota; Viridiplantae; Streptophyta; Magnoliopsida; Poales; Poaceae.
GUGCACACUUGUCAAAUCUAGCACUAGGCAGCUCAGAGAGAGACCUUAGGUCGAGAGGAUCAUACUUCGUUUUGGAAAGUUCGUGAUUCGACAAAGUGUUUGUCAUAUUUAGACACCAGAUGCUGGCACCGGACGCGACAGUGGGACUGUUUGCGCAUCCGGUGUGUGUGCAGAUGAUGAGCUAGUGUGCCACGUGUCUA